GACAGAGGGUGCAAACGUUGUUCGGAAUUACUGGGCGUAAAGCGCGUGUAGGCGGCUCUGCAAGUCAGGUGUGAAAUCCCACGGCUCAACCAUGGAAGUGCACUUGAAACUGCAGGGCUAGAGUCCUGGAGAGGAAGGUGGAAUGCUUGGUGUAGAGGUGAAAUUCGUAGAUAUCAAGCGGAACACCGGUGGAGAAGGCGGCCUUCUGGACAGUGACUGACGCUGAGACGCGAAAGCGUGGGGAGCAAACAGG
Molecule: ribosomal RNA, 253 nt
Filed under: uncultured bacterium
Lineage: Bacteria
Description: partial 16S ribosomal RNA
Rfam family: Bacterial small subunit ribosomal RNA
Source: RNAcentral